RNAcentral lists this ribosomal RNA (494 nucleotides) under uncultured bacterium. Its description in RNAcentral is "partial 16S ribosomal RNA". It matches the Rfam family "Bacterial small subunit ribosomal RNA", at positions 28 to 507 of the family's 1533-position model. The record is from RNAcentral.
GACGAACGCUGGCGGCGUGCUUAACACAUGCAAGUCGAACGGUGAAGCGCCUUCCUUUUUGGUGGGUGUGGAUGAGUGGCGAACGGGUGAGUAACACGUGAGUAACCUGCCCCCUUCUUCUGGAUAACCGCAUGAAAGUGUGGCUAAUACGGGAUAUUCUGGGUCUGUCGCAUGAUGGGUCUGGGAAAGAUAUUGUUUCGGUGGGGGAUGGGCUCGCGGCCUAUCAGCUUGUUGGUGGGGUGAUGGCCUACCAAGGCGGUGACGGGUAGCCGGCCUGGGAGGGUGGACGGUCACACUGGGACUGAGACACGGCCCAGACUCCUACGGGAGGCAGCAGUGGGGAAUAUUGCACAGUGGGCGCAAGCCUGAUGCAGCGACGCCGCGUGAGGGAUGGAGGCCUUCGGGUUGUGAACCUCUUUCGCCAGUGAAGCAGGCCUGCCUCGUUUGUGGGUGGGUUGACGGUAGCUGGAUAAGAAGCGCCGGCUAACUACGUG